GAUGAACGCUGGCGGUAUGCUUAACACAUGCAAGUCGAACGGACUCUUCGUAGUUAGUGGCGGACGGGUGAGUAACGCGUGAGAAUCUGGCUUUGUGUUCUGGACAACCACUGGAAACGGUGGCUAAUACCGGAUGUUCCUAGAGGUAAAAGAGAAAUUGCCUGAAGAUGAGCUCGCGUCUGAUUAGCUAGUUGGUGAGGUAAAGGCUCACCAAGGCAGCGAUCAGUAGCUGGUCUGAGAGGAUGACCAGCCACACUGGGAAUGAGACACGGCCCAGACGACUACGGGAGGCAGCAGUGGGGAAUUUUCCGCAAUGGGCGAAAGGAUGACGGAGCAAUACCGCGUGAGGGAAGAAGGCUCUUGGGUUGUAAACCUCUUUUCUUAGGGAAGAACAAAAUGACGGUACCUAAGGAAUCAGCAUCGGCUAACUCCGUG
This 435-nucleotide ribosomal RNA is filed under the name uncultured bacterium. Its description in RNAcentral is "partial 16S ribosomal RNA". It matches the Rfam family "Bacterial small subunit ribosomal RNA", at positions 28 to 507 of the family's 1533-position model. The record is from RNAcentral.